AGAUUUAUAGAUCAGCUAGAUAGAGCAUCCCUAUUUUCAAUCGGGACGGUCGAAGGUUCGAAUCCUUCUGCGCUUA
Molecule: transfer RNA, 76 nt
Filed under: Flavobacterium hibernum
Lineage: Bacteria; Pseudomonadati; Bacteroidota; Flavobacteriia; Flavobacteriales; Flavobacteriaceae
Description: tRNA-Glu
Source: RNAcentral